This 208-nucleotide ribosomal RNA is filed under the name uncultured fungus. RNAcentral's name for it is "partial 28S ribosomal RNA". It matches the Rfam family "Eukaryotic large subunit ribosomal RNA", at positions 75 to 276 of the family's 3401-position model. Lineage: Eukaryota; Fungi. The record is from RNAcentral.
UUGCCUCAGUAACUGCGAGUGAAGCGGCAAAAGCUCAAAUUUGAAAUCUGGCCCGUCUCUGGCGGCCCGAGUUGUAAUUUGGAGGGGCAUUUUCGGAGCGGGCGCCGUCCUAAGUUCCUUGGAACAGGACAUCACAGAGGGUGAGAAUCCCGUGCCUGGGCGGCAGCCCCGCUCCAUGUGAGGUGUCUCCGACGAGUCGAGUUGUUUG